This 252-nucleotide long non-coding RNA is filed under the name Actinidia chinensis (golden kiwifruit). Its description in RNAcentral is "long non-coding RNA (ACHI_LNC008196)". The record is from RNAcentral. Lineage: Eukaryota; Viridiplantae; Streptophyta; Magnoliopsida; Ericales; Actinidiaceae.
UAGCAACCAAACAGUGCAACUAAGACUAGGGCCUCCAAUUCCAACUUCCCCCAAUGCCUUGUUACAAAUGCAGGCAAGUUCUGCCGAUUAUCAGAAACUUCUUUUUCCUAAUGAAGUAAUGUUCUGAUUAUAUUAAAUUUCACAGGCCAUACUUAAACAGGAUAGUGGAAGGAACUAUGACUAUUGUGUCUACGACUCGGACAUUUCCACUGGAUAUGGUGUUGAUGCACUCUUGUUCCUCUUGGCCAGUCA